Molecule: long non-coding RNA, 939 nt
Filed under: Cyanistes caeruleus (blue tit)
Lineage: Eukaryota; Metazoa; Chordata; Aves; Passeriformes; Paridae
Description: lncRNA (ENSCCEG00000011853.1)
Source: RNAcentral
ACCAAUGAAUGUGAAAGAUCUUCAUGUUGUUCAUAAAACAACCAGACCUGAAGCUACUCACUCAUGACUGGUGAUUUUGCUUUGGCCAGGACAAACAGGUAUCUGCAGAGCAGCUGCUGUAAUCAUGACAGAGAGUAUCUUCUCCAAAUGGAUGCAUGUGCCAAGACUAGGGAGUGCACAAUGUGGAAAAUAGCUCACCAAAGAAGAGAACAAAGCCACAACUACAAAGCUGCAGAGUCAGGAGCAGGGUGUCAGUCCCAGCCAAGAAGCCAGACAAGAGUUUGAGAUAAUCUCAGACUGCUACGCUGCUCAGAUUUCCAGAGGAAGCUGGAAGAGGCGAUGCUUGUUAAAUGCUGAAUGCUACAGAGAGAGACUCUAGGACCCUCUCCCUGGCACCACAGUAAUUUCUAGACACAAAAUCUUUGUACAUCAUAGACUCAGUUCUCUGUUCUCAUAGUUCGUUGUCUAGCUUCCUAAAGAAAGAAAACAAGACAAUAACUGUAUACUUAAAAGAACAAUUUUUUUCUGAAUAAGCAAAAGACUUUGCAUUGAAACAUCUCAGGGUUACAUUCUAACUCUUCUGAAUGCUCUUUGAGCUGCAGGCCUCUUGCUUGUAAUUAUUUUGGAAAAGCACAAAAUAUGAAUCUUGGGGUUUCUCCUCACCCCAUUCAUAAGAGAUUAUUAGCAAUUUGUACUCAAAAGAAUUCACAAUUCAAUUUUAUGGCAUAUUGUAGAAACAUUCUGCAUCUGACCCCAUAAUGCAAUGUACAGUAGGCAGUAUGCUACCAGGGGCCUGGAAGAGUCAUGAGACCAAAAGGUGAGAGGCUGGUCUUUGGAAGGCUGGUACUACUAGUAAAUAUCAACAAAAUAGACAAACUAUAUGGAUUUACAGUUCUUCUUAAGGAUGCAAAGUCCCUUGAUGCUUUAAAAACACACAGA